CAUCACAUCAAGCAAAGUCAUGCAUAUUGCUAUCAAUCAGGCAACAAGAGUCUUUUCUUGGAAUUCUCAUGAUUCAUGAGAAUUCCAAGUAAUUGAACAUUCUACGUGACACCUUUUUGUACCUAAAGUCAUUGGACAUUCUACGUGCUUCAACAAGGCAUCAACAUUGGAUAGCGACCAUACAAAUAAGAUCUAUGCAAGAUUUGCAGCCGACGAAAUAGAAGUCAGCACAAUAAUAAGAACCAUGAUAAGCAAACCUGAUCCUC
This 266-nucleotide long non-coding RNA is filed under the name Elaeis guineensis (African oil palm). RNAcentral describes it as "long non-coding RNA (EGUI_LNC072866)". The record is from RNAcentral. Lineage: Eukaryota; Viridiplantae; Streptophyta; Magnoliopsida; Arecales; Arecaceae.